Molecule: ribosomal RNA, 942 nt
Filed under: uncultured archaeon
Lineage: Archaea
Description: bacterial SSU rRNA
Rfam family: Archaeal small subunit ribosomal RNA
Source: RNAcentral
UUCCGGUUGAUCCCGCCGGGACCCCACUGCUAUCGAGGUGGGACUAAGCCAUGCUAGUUGAGCGCACAGAAACUAUGUCUGUGAGCGGCACACUGCUCAGUAACACGUAGCUAACCUACCCUUAGGACGUGGACAACCCCGAGAAAUUGGGGCUAAUCCGCGAUAGAUGUAUUGUCCUGGAAUGGUAUUACGUCUAAAGGUAUCCCAUACAUGUUUGGUAUAUGCCUAAGGAUGGGGCUGCGGCCGAUCAGGCUGUUGGUGAGGUAAUGGCUCACCAAACCUUUGACCGGUACGGGCCAUGAGAGUGGUAGCCCGGAGAUGGACACUGAGACAAGGGUCCAGGCCCUACGGGGCGCAGCAGGCGCGAAACCUCCUCAAUGCACUUACGUGCGAAGGGGCUACCUCGAGUGCCAUCUGAUGAAGGUGGCUUUUCCUAGGUCUAAAAAGCCUUGGGAAUAAGAGGGGGGCAAGACUGGUGUCAGCCGCCGCGGUAACACCAGCCCCUCGAGUGGUGGGGAUGAUUAUUGGGCCUAAAGCGUCCGUAGCCUGCCGUAUAAGUUUCCCGUUAAAUCCAGCGUCUCAAGCGUUGGACCGCGGGAAAUACUGUACGGCUAGAGAGUGGGAGAGGUCAGCGGUAUUCUGGGGGUAGGGGCGAAAUCCUUUGAUCCCCGGAGGACCACCAGUGGCGAAGGCUGCUGUCUAGAACACGUCUGACGGUCAGGGACGAAAGCUGGGGUAGCGAACCGGAUUAGAUACCCGGGUAGUCCCAGCCGUAAACGAUGCAUGCUAGGUGUUGGGUUGGCCACGCGCCACCCCAGUGCCGCAGGGAAGCCGUUAAGCAUGCCGCCUGGGAAGUACGAUCGCAAGGUUGAAACUUAAAGGAAUUGGCGGGGGAGCACCACCAGGCGUGAAGCCUGCGGUUUAAUUGGAGUCAACGCCGGA